GAUGAGCGCUGGCGGCGUGCCUAAUACAUGCAAGUCGAGCGAACGGACGAGAAGCUUGCUUUUCUGAUGUUAGCGGCGGACGGGUGAGUAACACGUGGAUAACCUACCUAUAAGACUGGGAUAACUUCGGGAAACCGGAGCUAAUACCGGAUAAUAUUUUGAACCGCAUGGUUCAAAAGUGAAAGACGGUCUUGCUGUCACUUAUAGAUGGAUCCGCGCUGCAUUAGCUAGUUGGUAAGGUAACGGCUUACCAAGGCAACGAUGCAUAGCCAACCUGAGAGGGUGAUCGGCCACACUGGAACUGAGACACGGUCCAGACUCCUACGGGAGGCAGCAGUAGGGAAUCUUCCGCAAUGGGCGAAAGCCUGACGGAGCAACGCCGCGUGAGUGAUGAAGGUCUUCGGAUCGUAAAACUCUGUUAUUAGGGAAGAACAUAUGUGUAAGUAACUGUGCACAUCUUGACGGUACCUAAUCAGAAAGCCACGGCUAACUACGUG
This 497-nucleotide ribosomal RNA is filed under the name uncultured bacterium. Its description in RNAcentral is "partial 16S ribosomal RNA". It matches the Rfam family "Bacterial small subunit ribosomal RNA", at positions 28 to 507 of the family's 1533-position model. The record is from RNAcentral.